RNAcentral lists this ribosomal RNA (741 nucleotides) under uncultured bacterium. RNAcentral describes it as "bacterial SSU rRNA". It matches the Rfam family "Bacterial small subunit ribosomal RNA", at positions 8 to 796 of the family's 1533-position model. The record is from RNAcentral.
AGAGUUUGAUCAUGGCUCAGAACGAACGCUGGCGGCAGGCCUAAAACAUGCAAGUCGAACGCUCUAGCAAUAGAGAGUGGCGCACGGGUGCGUAACACGUGGGAAUAUGCCUUUUGGUACGGAACAACUUUUGGAAACGAAAGCUAAUACCGUAUGGUCCCUCCGGGGUAAAGAUUUAUCGCCAAAAGAGUAGCCCGCGCUGGAUUAGCUAGUUGGUGAGGUAAUGGCUCACCAAGGCGACGAUCCAUAGCUGGUCUGAGAGGACGAUCAGCCACACUGGGACUGAGACACGGCCCAGACUCCUACGGGAGGCAGCAGUUAGGAAUCUUGGACAAUGGGCGCAAGCCUGAUCCAGCCAUGCCGCGUGAGUGAUGAAGGCCUUCGGGUUGUAAAGCUCUUUAGUCCACGAAUAUAAUGACUGUAGUGGAAGAAUAAGCCCCGGCUAACUUCGUGCCAGCAGCCGCGGUAAUACGAAGGGGGCGAGCGUUGCUCGGAAUCACUGGGCGUAAAGCGUGCGUAGGCGGUUAUGAAAGUUAGGAGUGAAAGCCCAGGGCUCAACCCUGGAAUUGCUCUUAAAACUACAUGGCUCGAAUCUCGGAGAGGAUAGCGGAAUUGUCAGUGUAGCAGUGAAAUGCGUAGAUAUUGACAGGAACACCAGUGGCGUAAGCGGCUAUCUGGACGAGUAUUGACGCUGAGGCACGAAAGCGUGGGGAUCAACAGGAUUAGAUACCCNNGUAGUCC